Myiozetetes cayanensis is the source of this 462-nucleotide long non-coding RNA. RefSeq lists it as uncharacterized. NCBI's taxonomy places the organism in Eukaryota, Metazoa, Chordata, Aves, Passeriformes, Tyrannidae. The record is from RefSeq and is a predicted model, not a curated record. The transcript has 3 exons.
GUCAACAGAAAAUGCCACUUCUCUAAGAAACUGUGAGUGCUGACCUCUGAUGAUAGAUCCCCAGCAACAGGGAAUUAAAUGGAUAAAGAAUACAUGCAGAGCUGACCUUAAGUCAUACGUCUAGGACAGAAAGGGUCAACUUUUCUGAAGACCAUUGAAAGAGCUUUGGCUUUUGAUGAGACAAUACUAAUUGAAGAUGCAGGUCAAUCUAUUGAUCCCAUACUUGAUCCCUUGCUUGGACGACAUGCAGUUAAAAAGGGAAGAUUUAUCAAGAUUGAAGACAAAAAAUGUGAAUUCAACAAGAAUUUCUGUCUCAUCCUUCACACUAAGCUGGCUAACCCUCACUACAAGAGAGAACUGCAGGUUCAGACCACUCUCAUUAAUUUCUCUGUCACUGGGGACAGGCUGGAAGACCAGCUGUUGACUGAGGUUGUUAGUCCUGAAAGACAACACUUAUAAAAA